ACACCUUCCCCCUAUCGGCGCCAAGCAGGUGGCCAGGCCCUCGGGACCUCGCGCCCCCGCAGCCAGUGGCCCGGCCAGCUCGUGCGUCACGUGACGCGGGUCAGCUGCACCGCCGGGACCUCCAGGCACCGCGGCGGCGACCGCCCAGCGCGUGGUCUCGAGAUCUCAUCUUUCCGCGCCCCUCCCCCCACGGUCCCGGAAAAGGGGGAGGCCGGUGACGUCAUCAUCCGGGUUCUUGUCGGCGGGGCUACGGUUCACAAUGGAACAAAAACAAGCGGCCCGAGUCAAACUAUGAGCGACGCGGCUGCGGCUCACGCGAUUAACCCUGUCGUGGCCACACACCCCGCCAGUCCCUGCCGCCCAGCCCCUCCCGAGUGGUGUGCCAGAUCUUUUCGGGCCUCCCUUCCCCAACUUCGGUCCUAGAGCCACCUCUGCCCUCGUCCCGCUCCUGAGCCGAGGGGCAUGGAACAGGAUUUCUGGCCGUAGCACGACCCUGAAGGGGCCAGCCGGAAGAAACAGUACUGCGCGAACAAUCUUUACCGCAUUGUCUUCCCCUCCCCCACCCUAGCUCUCCGGGUUCCCGGCGGCUCGCGCCGAAGCCCGGCCCCCUCAGCGGCUCGCGCUGCUCUCCCAGCCUUGACGGCCCGGGGUGGAGGGAGAGAAGAGGGGGCAGCUGAGCGGGAGGGGGCUGGGCAGGAGCAGGGGGA
RNAcentral lists this long non-coding RNA (707 nucleotides) under Homo sapiens (human). RNAcentral's name for it is "HSALNT0407360". The record is from RNAcentral. Lineage: Eukaryota; Metazoa; Chordata; Mammalia; Primates; Hominidae.